Molecule: non-coding RNA, 1855 nt
Organism: Rattus norvegicus (Norway rat)
Lineage: Eukaryota; Metazoa; Chordata; Mammalia; Rodentia; Muridae
Source: RefSeq, a predicted model, not a curated record
GCAUGGGGAGGUAAAGAGAUAAGGCCUUCUGUAUCUUCAUCUUCCUCAAGUUCUCUGUUUCAGUUUUUCUGUGGUACAGAAUUUAAGAGAGCUGUGUCUACUUAGCGGCUUGGUGUGCUGGGGCAAAGCCUUCUGCAGCCAGCUCGUUGUGCAUUUUAAAAGUCUACCAGGCAGCUAAACCAGUCAAUCCUGGUUUGCCAACCUCUACCUGCCCCCCAAAAAACUGCCAGCAUGCUGGGGUGGGGAAUAGUUUAAAUUGUAUCAUUGCUAAAAACCAAAAGCAAACAUGGUUGAGAAAGAAGAAAUUGUGAUCCUGUCAGCCGCCAGGAAAAGGAAACCUAAGGCAGAUCAUGGCUGAACAGAUGUAGAAGAGCCUAGACAAUUCAGCCACUGCAGGGUGAGGGCUGCUGGAUCACGGGGGAAGGUACUGGUCUGGCUUCUGAGUACUUGGGACAUGGCUCCCUGAGGAUAACCUCGUGCUGGUCCUGACAAGACCUAGAUUUCCAGAGGACUGGAGUUCAUCUGCAUCCUGUCCUCCAUGGUCAGGGAGUGGCUAAAAACACACAGACAAGUCCAGACACCACUGAGCUGCCUCCCUUCUAGCUGUGCUGGCCCUGGUCAUAUGGUUGACUGAAAACUGCUUGUACUGAGCAAAGGGGAAUUUCCCCUGCUGGCUCAGAAAACUUGCAGAAACUUGGAGGCCCGGCCAAAGAGGAACUUGUGGCCAUUUACUGACCGAAAUCUGCCCCACCCAGAACCAGCUGGCCUUGCUCUGAGACCCUGGGAACUAGGAGCCUUUAAUUUCCAUCCUGGAUGAAUGUUAAUUCCAGAUAGAAGCCAUCCUUAGAUGGGAUGUGUGGUGGGUGGGUGGAUGGCAGAUACAGAAAUGGGAUGACAGGAAGACCAAGAGCAAUCCAGGCAGCAAAAGCUUGUUUUUGUCUCCUUGAGUCAGGACUUCUCAUGACUGGGCAAUCACACUCCAGGAUGUAUCUGGAUCUGGAGACAUGUGGAACCCUCCGGCCAGGUUAUGGAGGAAGAUCCCUGCUCAGCAAGUCUGGCAACUCAACACCCAGCACUAAUUAAGAAAAAGCAACUGAAUUUCCAAACGGGAGCUGCAAUGUUGGCUGAGUGUACGCAGCAGCAGAACCAAUCCCAUCCCUGCCAAGACCCAGGAUUCUGAACUUCAGAAGAAACUAAGUAAUUCUUGCUGUGCGCACAUUCAACCCUGGUCCUAGAUUCGACAUUUAUUUCCAGAAGAGACCUUUAACUUGAAAGGCUGAUUUUAUGAAAAACUGAGCCUUUCUGAAAAGGAUCAACUUCUCAUUUCGAUCAUGAAGGUCAGCAUCGAUAGUGUCCCAGGAGACAGCAGCAACAGGGUAAAGCAAAUGUCUUGAGGCAAGAUCCUGCAUCCGGGAGCAGGGACCAGCUUCUCUUCAGAAAGGAGCUGUGCACCUGAAAAAUGGAGCCUGAAAACAGAUUUUUCAGGGACAUUAAUGACCUCACAUGGAGAAUUUGAAUUCUCAUGGCAAUGUCUUCCACUCAGGCAGAGGUCAAAGAAGCUUUGAGGAAGCAAGGAGGUUGAGAGCAGAGUUGCACCAGGCCGUUCAGAAAGCACAUCUUGAAGAGAUCUCCUGGCUCUAGAGGAAGUAAGGCAUGGAACCAGAGAUAACCUGGGAACUUGGGAACUUGCUGGUGUUUCAGUCCUCAGAGAGCUGAAGGAAAUAUCUGGGUACCCAGAUGUGGUGGUGGACCCACUGGACUUCCCAAUGCAUGCACCCUGAUUGCAAUUGAUAGCAUAUCAACAUGGAAUCUUCGUAAUUUUUAAUAAAUAUAUUGGCUCAUUUAUUCACUCAUC